Molecule: long non-coding RNA, 135 nt
Organism: Sphaerodactylus townsendi
Lineage: Eukaryota; Metazoa; Chordata; Lepidosauria; Squamata; Sphaerodactylidae
Exons: 3
Source: RefSeq, a predicted model, not a curated record
UUUGGCUCAUUCUGCACACGCAAAAUAAUGCGUUUUCAAACCACUUUCACAACUGUUUGCAAGUGGAUUUUGCCAUUCACUUUCAUUUCAAAAGAGCAUAGAAAGCGGUUUGAAGGUGCCUUAUUCUGCGCAGUG